This is a non-coding RNA of Lactuca sativa (garden lettuce), 1665 nucleotides long. Lineage: Eukaryota; Viridiplantae; Streptophyta; Magnoliopsida; Asterales; Asteraceae. The record is from RefSeq and is a predicted model, not a curated record.
UGUGGCGUACAAAAAAUGAAAUGGAGCUAUCAUUCAGAAUGUGUAUGUAGGUCAGAACCUUGACGAUUAAACAACAUAGAACGAUUUGUGUCGAUAUUCUCGAAAAUCAGGAAAUGAGAAGGAUGCGAUUAGUUACAUAUUAUCGGGUGUUUUGAAAUGGAAUGUGGAACGAUUCGGAAGAGGAUAUCGUCACCAGAGACUUACAUCAAUUAAUAGUCGAUGAAGGAAGUGACGAAGGUAAGAGAUGUGGAAGAGAAACUUACAACCAAAGUCGAUGUCGAACUCAGAGACUUACAGUAGAUAAAUAGUUGAUGUCGGACUCAGAGACUGAAGAAACGAAAAAAUGGGGGUUGAAGACAGCAAGAUUGAAGAAAUCUUGUUUAUAAAGAUAUCAGCGAAAAGUGAAGAACUUCAAAAGAAUACCUCGAAAUCGAUUAAGAAUGGAAACACAAUCAGGUAUUUUUCAAUUUGCUAAAAGUUUUGAAUUUCGUAUUGUGUGAGUAUUAUUUUAAAAUUUUGAAAUUUGAAUUUGCUAAACAUUAGGCUUAAUUUUGUGCAAAAUUAUUCAUUGAUUUAUAUUAAUACGAGUAAAUAAAAAAAUACCUUGAAGUUUCAUUUUUUGUGAUAUUUCUUAAUAUUAUUUAAUUUAGAUUGUAUUUUAAAAUUUUAUUUGUACAUAAAUAAUUUCAUAUUAAAAAAAUUAAAAAAAAAAAACCACCGUGUGUUGAAAACAAUUUAUAUAUUUAGUAUUAUGCAUAAUUCUUGUAUUUGGAAACUAAAACUUAUUAAUUUGUUUAUUGUACCUUACAUUUUUCUUAUUUAGUCAAAACAAAAGAACAUAAAAAACUAAGUCUUAUGUUAUCAUAUUUGAUUCAAAAGUAGAUACAGAUAUCUGAAAAGUAAUUAUAUGCUCAAUAAAUUAAUUGUUUUAAUCCUGAAUAGGAAAAUUAUGAUCAGAUACCAGAAAGGGAGAUCCAAACAAUUGUCAACCAUCUUUUGUUUAACCUAUUAAACCCUAUUGAUGUGUUGAUUGAUAAAGAUUACAAACCAUUGAACUGAUGUUUCUCUUAGAUGGACUGUUUUGCCCUUUUGGUUUUGCUAUAAGUUGGAAUGUUUUCCCUUUUGUGUUGGGUGGCUUCAUUUAUGUUGUUUAGUAUUUCAAUUUGUUGUCUUUUUCUUGCUAGACCUUGGUAUACUUGGUUUCGGAUGCCUGCUGAUUCUUGCUUCCUUCAUAUGAGGUUUAUUGGCCUUUUUGCCCUUGUUGAUGCUCCUGCUGCAUACCCAAUAAAAGGAUGGACCGGAGUUGCUGCAUUAUCUCAUGUACAGUGUGAGGUACUAAUACAGCUUCCAAAGCUGCUUAACUUGAAGAACCUUGCCAAAACUGUGUUAUAGCUACCAAUAUAAACCCUACCCUUCAUGAAGUAAGAAAAAAUUGAAUGUGAGUAUAAUUAAGUUUAUCUUCUUAACAUAUGCUAAUUUUAUUUUGUCUAACUAUAGGCUUAUUAUAACUGGGCUAUGACCACAUGUGAUACAACAAAACUAUAUGGUGGCACAAAGGAAGUUGAGGAAAUAUAGAAAUUAGCAACAAAUAAUGCUUUUUUCUUCAAAAAAGUUUCACACAUUUUGGUUUUGCUUGUGUAAAAUACUAUCUUUUUGUUACGUCUA